AGUAGCCGCGGGAAUACCGAGGGUGCGAGCGUUAAUCGGAUUUACUGGGCGUAAAGCGUGCGUAGGCGGCUUCUUAAGUCGGAUGUGAAAUCCCUGAGCUUAACUUAGGAAUUGCAUUCGAUACUGGGAAGCUAGAGUAUGGGAGAGGAUGGUAGAAUUCCAGGUGUAGCGGUGAAAUGCGUAGAGAUCUGGAGGAAUACCGAUGGCGAAGGCAGCCAUCUGGCCUAAUACUGACGCUGAGGUACGAAAGCAUGGGGAGCAAACAGGAUUAGAUACCCGAGUAGUCCCUGUCUCUUAUACA
RNAcentral lists this ribosomal RNA (301 nucleotides) under uncultured bacterium. RNAcentral's name for it is "partial 16S ribosomal RNA". It matches the Rfam family "Bacterial small subunit ribosomal RNA", at positions 510 to 808 of the family's 1533-position model. The record is from RNAcentral.